GACGAACCGUGCGAACGUUAUUCGGAAUCACUGGGCUUAAAGCGCGUGUAGGCGGAUGAGCACGUCUGUCGCUGAAAUCCCCCGGCUCAACCGGGGAACGGGCGCGGAUACGGCUCGUCUCGAGGGGCGUAGGGGGACCUGGAACUUCCGGUGGAGCGGUGAAAUGCGUUGAGAUCGGAAGGAACGCCCGUGGCGAAAGCGGUUCUCUGGGCAUGAUCUGACGCUGAGGAGCGAAAGUGUGGGGAGCGAACAGG
Molecule: ribosomal RNA, 254 nt
Filed under: uncultured bacterium
Lineage: Bacteria
Description: partial 16S ribosomal RNA
Rfam family: Bacterial small subunit ribosomal RNA
Source: RNAcentral